ACGUAGGGUGCGAGCGUUGUCCGGAAUUAUUGGGCGUAAAGAGCUCGUAGGCGGUGUGUCGCGUCGGCCGUGAAAACUUGCAGCUUAACUGUGGGCGUGCGGUCGAUACGGGCAUCACUGGAGUUCGGCAGGGGAGACUGGAAUUCCUGGUGUAGCGGUGAAAUGCGCAGAUAUCAGGAGGAACACCGGUGGCGAAGGCGGGUCUCUGGGCCGAUACUGACGCUGAGGAGCGAAAGCGUGGGGAGCGAACAGGA
Molecule: ribosomal RNA, 254 nt
Filed under: uncultured prokaryote
Description: partial 16S ribosomal RNA
Rfam family: Bacterial small subunit ribosomal RNA
Source: RNAcentral